CUUAGGUUCAGAGGAGAAACCUAAUCGCAAACGAGAACGAUGAUCAUAUGUCCUUAUUAAUCUGAUUAAACCGUAACCUUCAAUUUUCUCCAACUUCAGUUCAAUCUCUGUUCUACAAAGUUACUCAAUUAUUAACCUUGACUCUUUCCGAGGGUUUUCCUAUUAAAUAUUUGGUGUAGAUUGAGUAAUUUAAAUGCGAUUAUAAAACCCAAAAUCAAAUCGAUUGAUGCAUCUUUUUUCUAAAACCCGAAAUCUAACGACAUCUUAUUUUUAGCGAAUGAUUCUCCUCCUCUCAAAUUCGCAGUAUUUUUUUUUAUGUAGUUGAGGUGAAGAAGAAGAUUGUAAUGGAGAUGGAGUGGAUGAAUAGUGACGGAUGUGGUAGUCCGUGAAGUGGAUAAGAUGUGGUAGUACCUGACCUGAAGUGGAGAAGAGGAGAUAAAAGAGGAGCAAACAGAAGAAUAAAUCAAAUGCAAAUUGUUUUGGAACGGGGCGGCAGUUGCACUUUUUGAAGGUUUGCAGGAUUGGCAGUCUUUGUUACAGCAGCAAGUUGUGGCGACAAUUUUUGGUCAGAUUUUCAUCCUCGGAGAUCAAAAUACCCAGGCAUUCCACAUGUUCAUGUUUACUCGUUUUCGGGUAUGUGCCUUAUUUUUCGUUUUCUUAUUUCAUACGUAUUUUUUUUAUUAAGUCAAUUAGUGGGUGAACUUCAUUAUCAGAAUUUACGGAACAAAGGUUUGAAAUCUUAAUUGAAGUGAAAUGGAAGUUUUUAGGAAAAAAACUCCGAAGUCCGUUAGAUGCAAAAAUUGCAGAAGUACCAGACCCUUCUAAUUAAGUUGGAUUCAAACCUGGUUCACAAAUCCUAAAGAAUGGGAGGAUGAUAUGAUUGGUUGGGUAGCAGUUUGUGGCAUUAUGACAUGGAACAUAGGGAAAUCAAGAUGUGAAGUUAUCUUCCGAGAACAAAAACAAACCCCAACGGGAUUGGUUAGAACUAUUGAGAAUGAAAUAAAAAUAGACAAGUUGGUAUUCAAGAAAACAAACAAGAAAGAUAUGGCUUCAACGAAGAAAAUGGAAAAACAACCAUGGAUACCAUGAAUCCAAUUUAAGGAGGUGAGAUAGUAGCAAGGCUGGGAUUUAUGGACAACAACUAUCAGACAGUGGCUACAUCGACGUAAAUGGCUGAGAGCUUGGCAGCAAAACAAGCAGCUCAGUUGGCAACACAAAACUACUUCAAGGUAACUCACAUUGAAGAAACAAGACGGAGGCUACAAACAAGACGCUAGCAACAACAUUAAACUAAAAGUUGGACGAUCAUCAUAAGGGAUGGUGUGAACAGAUUCCAAACGUGCUAUGGUCAUAUAGAACCACCAGGCGGGAUGCAACGGGGAUGUCACCCUUUUGUUUGACAUAUGAAGAUGAGGCAGUGCUACCUGCUGAAAUCAUCCUUCCCACCACGAGAAGAGAAGCAUGGGAUAAAGGGCUAAACUCGGAUUUGAUUCUAGCGAAAUUAGACGACCUUGAGGAAAUCAGGGAAUUCGCAUUACAACAUAUGGUAAAUUAUCAUCAGAGGUUGUCAAGGGAGUAUAACAAAAGGGUAAAACCCCGGAGCUUCGUACCUGGAGAGCUUGUGCUGCGAGAAAUACCCCCAUAUCAGAAGGGAUCAGGAGUAAAUCUAGAGUCUACGUGGGAAGGUCCUUAUAUCGUGAAAAGGGUAGUUGGAAAUGGGGCAUACGAGUUGGCGGAUUGCGAAGGAAAAGACACAGACAAAGAAGGGAACAUAAUAUACGGCGAGAUCGAGAGGCAAGACCGAAAAUUGUGUCACCCUUGGAAUCCAGUAUAUAUCAAGAAGUAUUAUCCGUGAAUGUAUGUUGUAAUGCAGAAAAGGCAAUAAACAUGUACUUGAAUGGGGUUUAUUAAUGAAAUAUCUCUUCCA
Molecule: long non-coding RNA, 1927 nt
Organism: Papaver somniferum (opium poppy)
Lineage: Eukaryota; Viridiplantae; Streptophyta; Magnoliopsida; Ranunculales; Papaveraceae
Exons: 2
Source: RefSeq, a predicted model, not a curated record